RNAcentral lists this ribosomal RNA (433 nucleotides) under uncultured bacterium. RNAcentral's name for it is "partial 16S ribosomal RNA". It matches the Rfam family "Bacterial small subunit ribosomal RNA", at positions 29 to 507 of the family's 1533-position model. The record is from RNAcentral.
AACGAACGCUGGCGGCAUGCCUAACACAUGCAAGUCGAGCGAGACCUUCGGGUCUAGCGGUGGACGGGUGAGUAACGCGUGGGAACGUGCCCUUUUCUACGGAAUAGCCUCGGGAAACUGAGCGUAAUACCGUAUACUCCCUCUGGGGGAAAGAUUUAUCGGAGAAGGAUCGGCCCGCGUUGGAUUAGGUAGUUGGUGGGGUAAUGGCCUACCAAGCCUACGAUCCAUAGCUGGUGUGAGAGGAUGAUCAGCCACACUGGGACUGAGACACGGCCCAGACUCCUACGGGAGGCAGGCGUGGGGAAUCUUAGACAAUGGGGGCAACCCUGAUCUAGCCAUGCCGCGUGAGUGAUGAAGGACUUAGGGUUGUAAAGCUCUUUAAGCUGCGAAGAUAAUGACGGUACCAGAAGAAGAAGCCCCGGCUAACUCCGUG